Molecule: unclassified non-coding RNA, 22 nt
Filed under: Mus musculus (house mouse)
Lineage: Eukaryota; Metazoa; Chordata; Mammalia; Rodentia; Muridae
Description: oocyte_clustered_small_RNA8819
Source: RNAcentral
UUACGUCGCACAGUCAGACAGA